UGGGGAAUCGUCUAGCGGUAGGACUACGGACUCUGACUCCGUCAACUGAGGUUCGAAUCCUUGUUCCCCAGCCA
This 74-nucleotide transfer RNA is filed under the name Candidatus Methylospira mobilis. RNAcentral's name for it is "tRNA-Gln". It matches the Rfam family "tRNA". Rfam says of the family: Transfer RNA (tRNA) molecules are approximately 80 nucleotides in length. Their secondary structure includes four short double-helical elements and three loops (D, anti-codon, and T loops). Lineage: Bacteria; Pseudomonadati; Pseudomonadota; Gammaproteobacteria; Methylococcales; Methylococcaceae. The record is from RNAcentral.